GUUUAUUUAUUUUUACUAAUUACAGGGUAUGAGGUUUAGAGUGAGCAGGAACUGUAAUCAGCACAAUUGCUUUGCUAAAUGCUACAAGUAUAUGAAUAGGCAUUCACCAUCAGUGUGAUUUAGGUAGGUGUGCAAAGCUCCAACGCCGCUGAACUUAGGUAGACCUGCAAAGCUCCUAUGAGUCUUUCAAUUUAACAUCGAGUCCUUAGCAGCGGGCAAGACCUCCAGCUUAGCCUUUGUACACAUGAAUCAUUCCAUGCAGUAUCCCUCCCACCCUGAUGUUGUACUGUGUUUAAACCCCAGAAAUAUCAUUUGCUAUAAUAGUAUCCUUCCCAAUUGAAGGAUUUACUAUGUUUUCCUGCAUAGUGUUCUAUGUUGAAAUAUAUAGGAUUUGGAAUCUUAAAAAUGCGUGAUCCUGAAACAG
Molecule: long non-coding RNA, 424 nt
Filed under: Daucus carota (carrot)
Lineage: Eukaryota; Viridiplantae; Streptophyta; Magnoliopsida; Apiales; Apiaceae
Description: long non-coding RNA (DCAR_LNC002426)
Source: RNAcentral